UCCACCAGUAGACUUGGCGCCCGUUGGAGGUC
RNAcentral lists this small RNA (32 nucleotides) under Bombyx mori (domestic silkworm). RNAcentral's name for it is "ovarian small RNA-26645". The record is from RNAcentral. Lineage: Eukaryota; Metazoa; Arthropoda; Insecta; Lepidoptera; Bombycidae.